RNAcentral lists this ribosomal RNA (363 nucleotides) under uncultured bacterium. RNAcentral's name for it is "bacterial SSU rRNA". It matches the Rfam family "Bacterial small subunit ribosomal RNA", at positions 527 to 891 of the family's 1533-position model. The record is from RNAcentral.
GUAGGGUGCGAGCGUUAAUCGGAAUUACUGGGCGUAAAGCGUGCGCAGGCGGUUAUAUAAGACAGAUGUGAAAUCCCCGGGCUCAACCUGGGACCUGCAUUUGUGACUGUAUAGCUAGAGUACGGUAGAGGGGGAUGGAAUUCCGCGUGUAGCAGUGAAAUGCGUAGAUAUGCGGAGGAACACCGAUGGCGAAGGCAAUCCCCUGGACCUGUACUGACGCUCAUGCACGAAAGCGUGGGGAGCAAACAGGAUUAGAUACCCUGGUAGUCCACGCCCUAAACGAUGUCAACUGGUUGUUGGGUCUUCACUGACUCAGNNNNNNACKAACGCGUGAAGUUGACCGCCUGGGGAGUACGGCCGCAA